RNAcentral lists this long non-coding RNA (845 nucleotides) under Cicer arietinum (chickpea). RNAcentral describes it as "long non-coding RNA (CARI_LNC002252)". The record is from RNAcentral. Lineage: Eukaryota; Viridiplantae; Streptophyta; Magnoliopsida; Fabales; Fabaceae.
UUACCAAUAAUUAAAAACUCAAGACUUGAGAGCUCUCAAACAUUUUAAUACAGUGAGUAUCAAUGCUAGAACUUCCUAAUGUUUAAUAUAUUCAAGCUUAAAAAUGUUAUACAAUGGGCAAAUUUCAAAUUUUCCAACAUGUUAAUGUUCUUCUAAAAAAAAAAAUAACACCUAAAUACGUUAUAGACAUAAGUUACACUUCCCAUAUAUAGUUUACAUGUACAAAUAAGCUCUCUUAAUUAUAUGAAUCCAAACAUAAACAAGAAAAUAAAAUUCAAACCAAUAUUAACUAAAACAUCAUGUUAGUGACCUGAACCUCUUCUACUUGGCCCUGAAGUCAUGGUAUGAACUUGGUUAUUAUCAACCAAAAUCCUGUUUGUCAUCAUCUUAUACCCUUUGUUGUUGACUUUUUCUAUUAUCAUUGAAGCCUUGAGAUGUUGAAACUCUUUGAUGUGUUCGUGAGUUGUAUUUUUUGUCUUUGUUUGUGAUUGAAGGAUUCUAGAGUUUACAAAAUAAGGCUUUGUGGUAGCAACCACUGUGAAAAAGACUAGAAGUAAAACAGAGAACCUCAUUUUUUUGUUGUUGUUGGUGCAACCAACACUAUUGGUGAUGAAGUAAGUUGAAGUGUUUUAUUGACGAAAAUAAAGGGGUAGAGCUAAAAAUAAAAUGAUUGGUUUGGCAUCUCCUAAGAGAAGAGAGUCAAAGAGGCUUUACAUAUUAAUUAAGGAAGGGUAUAUGGAAGGCCAAAAUGGACGGUUAAGGGCUAACAAGUGUGGAACCUAUUGAAGAGAGUUGUUAAAAUAAAAUUGUUUUUACGGUACUCUUUUUCUUUUUUAAUAAAAGAC